GACGAACGCUGGCGGCGUGCCUAAUACAUGCAAGUCGAACGCACGAAGUUGAAGAGCUUGCUCUUUAACCAAGUGAGUGGCGGACGGGUGAGUAACACGUGGGUAACCUGCCCAUUAGAGGGGGAUAACAUUCGGAAACGGAUGCUAAUACCGCAUAGUUUCAGGAAUCGCAUGAUUCUUGAAGGAAAGGUGGCUUCGGCUACCACUAAUGGAUGGACCCGCGGCGUAUUAGCUAGUUGGUGAGGUAACGGCUCACCAAGGCAAUGAUACGUAGCCGACCUGAGAGGGUGAUCGGCCACACUGGGACUGAGACACGGCCCAGACUCCUACGGGAGGCAGCAGUAGGGAAUCUUCCGCAAUGGACGAAAGUCUGACGGAGCAACGCCGCGUGAGUGAAGAAGGUUUUCGGAUCGUAAAACUCUGUUGUUAAAGAAGAACAAGGAUGAGAGUAACUGCUCAUCCCCUGACGGUAUUUAACCAGAAAGCCACGGCUAACUACGUGCCAGCAGCCGCGGUAAUACGUAGGUGGCAAGCGUUGUCCGGAUUUAUUGGGCGUAAAGCGAGCGCAGGCGGUUCUUUAAGUCUGAUGUGAAAGCCCCCGGCUCAACCGGGGAGGGUCAUUGGAAACUGGAGAACUUGAGUGCAGAAGAGGAGAGUGGAAUUCCACGUGUAGCGGUGAAAUGCGUAGAUAUGUGGAGGAACACCAGUGGCGAAGGCGACUCUCUGGUCUGUAACUGACGCUGAGGCUCGAAAGCGUGGGGAGCAAACAGG
RNAcentral lists this ribosomal RNA (771 nucleotides) under uncultured Vagococcus sp. RNAcentral describes it as "bacterial SSU rRNA". It matches the Rfam family "Bacterial small subunit ribosomal RNA", at positions 28 to 776 of the family's 1533-position model. The record is from RNAcentral. Lineage: Bacteria; Bacillati; Bacillota; Bacilli; Lactobacillales; Enterococcaceae.